GAUGAACGCUAGCGGCAGGCCUAAUACAUGCAAGUCAAGGGGAUCGCAAGAUCACCGGCGGACGGGUGCGUAACGCGUACACAACGUACCCUUGAGCGGGGGAUAGCAUUGGGAAACUGGUGGUAAAACCCCAUGGUGUUGGAAUGUGGCAUCACAAACCAACUAAAGGAUACACUCAAGGAUCGGUGUGCGUCUGAUUAGCUAGUUGGCGGGGUAACGGCCCACCAAGGCGACGAUCAGUAGGGGGUGUGAGAGCAUGGCCCCCCACAUGGGUACUGAGACACGGACCCAACUCCUACGGGAGGCAGCAGUAAGGAAUAUUGGACAAUGGUCGGAAGACUGAUCCAGCCAUGCCGCGUGAAGGACGAAGGCGCUCAGCGUUGUAAACUUCUUUUGGACGGGGAUAAUACUGUCGAUUUAUCGGCAAUUGAAGGUACCGUCAGAAUAAGCACCGGCUAACUCCGUG
Molecule: ribosomal RNA, 466 nt
Filed under: uncultured organism
Description: bacterial SSU rRNA
Rfam family: Bacterial small subunit ribosomal RNA
Source: RNAcentral